GACGAACGCUGGCGGCGUGCUUAACACAUGCAAGUCGAACGGAAAGGCCCUGCUUUUGUGGGGUGCUCGAGUGGCGAACGGGUGAGUAACACGUGAGUAACCUGCCCUUGACUUUGGGAUAACUUCAGGAAACUGGGGCUAAUACCGGAUAGGAGCUCCUGCUGCAUGGUGGGGGUUGGAAAGUUUCGGCGGUUGGGGAUGGACUCGCGGCUUAUCAGCUUGUUGGUGGGGUAGUGGCUUACCAAGGCUUUGACGGGUAGCCGGCCUGAGAGGGUGACCGGCCACAUUGGGACUGAGAUACGGCCCAGACUCCUACGGGAGGCAGAAGUGGGGAAUAUUGCACAAUGGGCGGAAGCCUGAUGCAGCAGCGCCGCGUGCGGGAUGACGGCCUUCGGGUUGUAAACCGCUUUCGCCUGUGACGAAGCGUGAGUGACGGUAAUGGGUAAAGAAGCACCGGCUAACUACGUG
This 468-nucleotide ribosomal RNA is filed under the name uncultured bacterium. RNAcentral's name for it is "partial 16S ribosomal RNA". It matches the Rfam family "Bacterial small subunit ribosomal RNA", at positions 28 to 507 of the family's 1533-position model. The record is from RNAcentral.